Cottoperca gobio is the source of this 157-nucleotide long non-coding RNA. RefSeq lists it as uncharacterized. The transcript is spliced from 3 exons. The record is from RefSeq and is a predicted model, not a curated record. Lineage: Eukaryota; Metazoa; Chordata; Actinopteri; Perciformes; Bovichtidae.
GGGAAAUCCUUUCUUCCAGAAAUCAGACAAGCCAGGGUUUCCAACACACCAGCAUCAAAGAUGAAGAAACAAACAGCAACGUCUCCCAAACUGAGAAGAAACAGUCCAAGAAGAGCCCGGCUGUUGGAGGAGGAAGAGGAAGAGGAAGAAGGACCGG